UUCCGUAGGUGAACCUGCGGAAGGAUCAUUACAUUCAGUAGCCCAGCUACUUGUUUACACCCUUGUUUUUUUGCGUACUUAUCGUUUCCUCGGCGGGCUUGCCUGCCGGUUGGACAACUUUAUAACCUUUUUAAAUCUUCAAUCAGCGUCUGAAUAAUAUACAAUAAUUACAACUUUCAACAACGGAUCUCUUGGUUCUGGCAUCGAUGAAGAACGCAGCGAAAUGCGAUAAGUAGUGUGAAUUGCAGAAUUCAGUGAAUCAUCGAAUCUUUGAACGCACAUUGCGCCCCUUGGUAUUCCAUGGGGCAUGCCUGUUCGAGCGUCAUUUGUACCUUCAAGCUUUGCUUGGUGUUGGGUGCUUGUCUUUUUGUUAAGACUCACCUCAAAGUCAUUGGCAGCCAGUGUUUUGGUAGUAAGCGCAGCACAUUUUGCGUCUUGGUCCCUCAACAGCAGCAUCCAUCAAGCCAUUUUCUCACUUUUGACCUCGGAUCAGGUAGGGAUACCCGCUGAAC
This 512-nucleotide ribosomal RNA is filed under the name Phaeosphaeria sp. CBS 206.87. RNAcentral's name for it is "eukaryotic LSU rRNA". The stretch from base 172 to 325 matches the Rfam family "5.8S ribosomal RNA". The record is from RNAcentral. Lineage: Eukaryota; Fungi; Ascomycota; Dothideomycetes; Pleosporales; Phaeosphaeriaceae.